Molecule: ribosomal RNA, 567 nt
Filed under: Thermothelomyces thermophilus
Lineage: Eukaryota; Fungi; Ascomycota; Sordariomycetes; Sordariales; Chaetomiaceae
Description: eukaryotic LSU rRNA
Rfam family: 5.8S ribosomal RNA (bases 193-346)
Source: RNAcentral
CCGUGGGACGCGGAGGACAUUACAGAGCUGCAAAACUCCCUAAACCAUCGUGAACGCUACCUAAACCGUUGCUUCGGCGGGCGGCGCCCUCGCGCGCCCCCCCUGGGGCCCGCACCGCGGGCGCCCGCCGGAGGUACACCAAACUCUUGAUAUGUUAUGGCCACUCUGAGUCUCCUGUACUGAAUAAGUCAAAACUUUCAACAACGGAUCUCUUGGUUCUGGCAUCGAUGAAGAACGCAGCGAAAUGCGAUAAGUAAUGUGAAUUGCAGAAUUCAGUGAAUCAUCGAAUCUUUGAACGCACAUUGCGCCCGCCAGCAUCCUGGCGGGCAUGCCUGUUCGAGCGUCAUUUCAACCCAUCAAGCCCACGGCUUGUGUUGGGGACCUGCGGCUGCCCGCAGGCCCUGAAAACCAGUGGCGGGCUCGCUAGUCACACCGGGCGUAGUAGCAUACGACCUCGCUCAGGGCGUGCUGCGGGUUCCAGCCGUAAAACGACCUUCACAACCCAAGGUUGACCUCGGAUCAGGUAGGAGGACCCGCUGAACUUAAGCAUAUCAAUAAGCGGAGGAA